Molecule: transfer RNA, 70 nt
Filed under: Marmota monax (woodchuck)
Lineage: Eukaryota; Metazoa; Chordata; Mammalia; Rodentia; Sciuridae
Description: tRNA.Ala
Source: RNAcentral
GGGGUUGUGGCUCAGAGGUAGAGCGCUGCCUAGCAUGCCUGAGACACUGGGUUUGAGCCUCAGAACCACA